UGCGUGUCCGGGGCCCCUCCGUGGCUUGGCACCAGCAGGCACGCAGCGAUCGCCGUCGUUGUUAUUUAGUAGUAGCAGUAACGGCUGACAUUUACAGCGACGUCAAUGGCGCCAGGUGCCAAGCUCUUUCCUUGUAUAAUUUCAUGGACACUCACGCAUCAACUCUAAGCGAAGACUUGGAGCGGGGCUCAGCACCCCAGGGGUACCUCUGCAACCUCGAAAUGAAGUUGAAAAUAGCACAGGAGCCCACUAUCAUUGUGUGAACAUUUUGUGAAUGAAGACAUGUACGAAAGGAUGUUUGGAGGCUUCAAGGAACGAAAGCCGAGAGUCUAGCUACACCAGAGCCAUCCAGCCCAGGAGCGAUGGCCACGUGUGGCCGCUGGACACGAGAGACGUAGCCGGUCCAAACUGCGCAGUGCGGGGCAGUGGAAGCCGUUGGAGGGCCUCAGGCAGGAACACAAGGUGUCGUGGCAGAAAGGAAGAAGGGGCCGGGCACAGUGGCCCACACCCAUCAUCGCAGCACUUUGGGAGGGAGGCCAAGGCAGGAGGAUCGCUUCAGCCCAGGAGUUCAAGAUCAGCCUGGGCAACACAGCAAGACCCCGUCUUUACUAAAACCCUAAAACUUAGCCAGGCUUGGUGGCAUGUGCCUAAAGUCCCAGGUCCUCGGGAGACUAAGGCAGGAGGAUUGCUUAAGCCCAAGAGUUUGAGGCUGCAGUGAACUAUGAUCACACCACUGCACUCAGCCUGGGUGACAGAGUGACUCUGUCUCAAAACUAA
Molecule: long non-coding RNA, 777 nt
Filed under: Pan troglodytes (chimpanzee)
Lineage: Eukaryota; Metazoa; Chordata; Mammalia; Primates; Hominidae
Description: long non-coding RNA NONPTRT016505
Source: RNAcentral